GUUCCCAUAGAUUAGUGGUUAGAUCGGAACGUUGUGGUCUAACACAUCCGUUCAAACGCGUGUUCGAAUCACGCUGGGGACA
Exidia glandulosa HHB12029 is the source of this 82-nucleotide non-coding RNA. Lineage: Eukaryota; Fungi; Basidiomycota; Agaricomycetes; Auriculariales; Exidiaceae. The record is from the annotation of a GenBank genome assembly.